Molecule: ribosomal RNA, 495 nt
Filed under: uncultured bacterium
Lineage: Bacteria
Description: partial 16S ribosomal RNA
Rfam family: Bacterial small subunit ribosomal RNA
Source: RNAcentral
UGAACGCUGGCGGCGUGCCUAAUACAUGCAAGUCGCGCGAACAGACGAGGAGCUUGCUCCUCUGACGUUAGCGGCGGACGGGUGAGUAACACGUGGAUAACCUACCUAUAAGACUGGGAUAACUUCGGGAAACCGGAGCUAAUACCGGAUAAUAUAUUGAACCGCAUGGUUCAAUAGUGAAAGACGGUUUUGCUGUCACUUAUAGAUGGAUCCGCGCCGCAUUAGCUAGUAGGUAAGGUAACGGCUUACCAAGGCAACGAUGCGUAGCCGACCUGAGAGGGUGAUCGGCCACACUGGAACUGAGACACGGUCCAGACUCCUACGGGAGGCAGCAGUAGGGAAUCUUCCGCAAUGGGCGAAAGCCUGACGGAGCAACGCCGCGUGAGUGAUGAAGGUCUUCGGAUCGUAAAACUCUGUUAUUAGGGAAGAACAAAUGUGUAAGUAACUAUGCACGUCUUGACGGUACCUAAUCAGAAAGCCACGGCUAACUACGUG